GGAAAGCCGAUGAUGGAGAAAAGUAAAUCAUCCCAGCCUUGCAGGGAGAAGAAGCCGAGACUGGAAGCUUCUUUAAGGUAUGGCCGAUUGAAGUUCCCUCCGGAGUUGCUGUGCUGAAAGUUCAGUAGGUGCAGACGGGAUUUCCCGCCGUUAAAAGGGAAGAGGUAUCGGAUCAUGUCCCGUACCGGUAAAGUGGCCUUUUUGCAAUUAGGGUGGUACCACGGAAAGUAACUCCGUCCCUUGG
RNAcentral lists this non-coding RNA (244 nucleotides) under Desulforamulus reducens. Its description in RNAcentral is "Desulfotomaculum reducens T-box sequence". It matches the Rfam family "T-box leader". Rfam says of the family: Uncharged tRNA acts as the effector for transcription antitermination of genes in the T-box leader family. The record is from RNAcentral. Lineage: Bacteria; Bacillati; Bacillota; Clostridia; Eubacteriales; Peptococcaceae.